UUGUCGACAAAUUUUUGGGGUUUACUAUGGAUUGAGUUGAUUCAUACACAAUGGAUGAUGCUUCGUAUACCGGGUUUUUUGGGGAAAUUUAUUCACCAUUUUUUCUAAAUACUAGUAAAAUUUGCUGCUAGUGCACUACAAAUUUCCUUUGAUGUAAUUAAAAAUGUAUCAUGUGUAACAUUUUAUCUUGUUUUCAGUGAAACAAAAUUUUGCUUCCACCGAUGAGAUAAUUUGUUGCUAUCGCAAUCUAAUAUUAUUUUGAUGUAACAAAAAAUUGCGUGAAAGCAAUUUGCUUCCAUGUGAAAAAGUCAUAUAAGUAAUUUUUUUCCAACACAAGGAAAACUUUGCUUCCAUCAAAUGCCAAGUGUUUCCAUGGUAAAAACUAUUUGUCUCCAACAGGACAGAAGUUUGUUUCCUGCUUCAUUUGUUCAUAUACUAAGUUCAAGUCAUGAUACAAAGUUAUUUUCUUCCCAGUCCCCAGUAGUAUGUACACUGCUUCUAAGUUAAUGCCAUAUGUUUCCUACAGAUUGUAGACUUGCUUCUCUUCGAGUGUGGUCGUCUUCAUUGUAGGGGAGGUCAGGGUAUCAUCGCACUUCUAGGUGCAUGCUUCGGUCGCUUCCAUAUAUGUCUCUGGUGGCGCCCAAGUGCUUGAAGCAUACAUCACCAAAUAUAUAAAAUAUAUGAAGCAUGCUGAUAGUUUUUAAAUGCAAACAAUUCUCUUGACAAUGUAAGAAAACAUAUAUAAAAAGUAGAAGCAUGUUUCUAUUGAUGUAAAGUAUCUCGGCUGAAUAAAACAUAUAGUAAGGUUAGGAAGCAUGGACAUUAGGAAGCAUCCAUUAUUUGUUAUGUCAACAUAACUCAUACCUAGAAGAAGCAUAGAAUAUUCUAACUAGAAACUAGCAGUCACAACAUGUACGGUGUGUAUCUGUGAAUCAAUAAUUUUGUGGUCUAAUAAAAACCAAUUUCUUCCAUCGAUGCAAACAAACUGGAAUGUCGUCGAUGCACAUAUAUGAUGUUUAUGAAGCAUGGAUAAUUGGCAGACCAUUAAGCAUCUUAGAAGCAUAAAAACUUUAGGCAUGAUGAAUAACAAUUGACAAUGGGAAGCAACAACUAGUACUAGAAAGAAGGUUCAAAAUACAUGUAUUGAAAGGUUGGAUCCUUGAGAAUAAAUAUUUUGAAGCAUGGUUACAUUGCGGUAAAUUAUCUAAACUGAAGAAACGUACAGCAGACUAGGAAGCAAGGAUAUCUCGAAGCAUCAAUUUCAUUCUACCUGAACAUAAGUCAUGCCCAAUGGAAGCAUAACAACAGAAACUAGAAAUUGACAAUAGUUAUUGCCAACAUGCAAGUGCAACAUUGUGAUAUGCAAACUAAUUCUAUCCAAAUUGACCAGUUCUAUUUUUUUGCACACAUAAAAAUGAGGCAGAGCAUGAUAAAAACAUGGAAUCAAUUGAAACAAAUUACCAUCAAUCAUAGUAAAAUUGUAUUCAAAUUAAAGAACAAAAGUAUCAGAGACAACUGCUAGUUCACUAGUCGAGGGGUGGUGGAGAUGGUGGGCACACCCUACAACCUCCAUGCAACCUGGUGAUGCAGCGGUGUAGAUGACGGAUUGACGGGCACAAACACCUCAUGCAGGGAUGUCGUGCCGACGAGGUUGCUGGGGUCAUAUCAUGGAGCAGAUCACACAUGGGUUUCGAUUUGGACCUGGGCCGUGCGGUGGAUAGUGUGGCUGGCAACGAGGUGGAAAUGAAGCAUGGUGUGCAGCAGGUUGAAUCUGGGCGAAGAGUAAAGGCGACAAUGUCGAUGGCGAGCUUAGAUGGAGAUGCAUGUGGAAAAACGAGGGUGGGAACGGGAGAGAGACGGAUCAGACGAGAAACAUAAAGGAUAUAUAAUCAUGCAUGCGUGACAUACGGUGGUUAGCACCGGCUGAUAAGAAUUAACAUUUAUUAUAUUAUAAACACAAGGGCUAGUGUUUUAUGUCUCCACCAUGGGAUUGAACUGAAAUCCACGGAUAUGGUGUGGUCUCGUGUUGUCUUGUUACCAGACUAUAGAUAAGUGUUUCCCAUACUUAAAC
This 2071-nucleotide long non-coding RNA is filed under the name Hordeum vulgare. RNAcentral describes it as "long non-coding RNA (HVUL_LNC017723)". The record is from RNAcentral. Lineage: Eukaryota; Viridiplantae; Streptophyta; Magnoliopsida; Poales; Poaceae.